CCUACGGGUGGCUGCAGUGAGGAAUAUUGGUCAAUGGACGCAGGCCUGAACCAGCCAAGUCGCGUGAGGGAAGACUGCCCUAUGAGUUGUAAACCUCUUUUAUAAGGGAGGAAUACUCAAUACGUGUAGUCAGAUGCCCGUAUCUUAUGAAUAAGCAUCGGCUAACUCCGUGCCAGCAGCCGCGGUAAUACGGAGGAUGCAGGCGUUAUCCGGAUUUAUUGGGUUUAAAGGGUGCGUAGGGGGUUGAUUAAGUUAGUGGUAAAACGCCGGGGCUAAACCUGGAUUUGCCAUUGAAACUGGAGUACUAGAGUAUAGAUGAGGUAGGCGGAAUGAGUGAUGUAGCGGUGAAAUGCAUAGAGAUAACACAGAACACCGAUAGCGAAGGCAGCUUACCAGACUACGACUGACGUUGAAGCACGAGAGCGUGGGGAGCGAACAGGAUUAGAUACCCGAGUAGUC
RNAcentral lists this ribosomal RNA (459 nucleotides) under uncultured bacterium. RNAcentral's name for it is "partial 16S ribosomal RNA". It matches the Rfam family "Bacterial small subunit ribosomal RNA", at positions 338 to 795 of the family's 1533-position model. The record is from RNAcentral.